ACGCUCGACACCUACGGGAGGCAGCAGUCGGGAAUAUUGCGCAAUGGAGGAAACUCUGACGCAGUGACGCCGCGUGCAGGAAGAAGGUUUUCGGAUUGUAAACUGCUUUAGACAGGGAAGAACAAAUGACAGUACCUGUAGAAUAAGCUCCGGCUAACUACGUCCCAGCAGCCGCGGUAAUCUGAGCGGGCUGGCAAGGC
This 200-nucleotide ribosomal RNA is filed under the name uncultured bacterium. RNAcentral describes it as "partial 16S ribosomal RNA". It matches the Rfam family "Bacterial small subunit ribosomal RNA", at positions 328 to 539 of the family's 1533-position model. The record is from RNAcentral.